This 450-nucleotide ribosomal RNA is filed under the name uncultured bacterium. RNAcentral's name for it is "bacterial SSU rRNA". It matches the Rfam family "Bacterial small subunit ribosomal RNA", at positions 29 to 524 of the family's 1533-position model. The record is from RNAcentral.
AACGAACGCUGGCGGCAUGCCUAACACAUGCAAGUCGAACGAGACCUUCGGGUCUAGUGGCGCACGGGUGCGUAACGCGUGGGAAUCUGCCCUUGGGUUCGGAAUAACAGUUAGAAAUGACUGCUAAUACCGGAUAAUGUCUUCGGACCAAAGAUUUAUCGCCCAGGGAUGAGCCCGCGUAGGAUUAGCUAGUUGGUGAGGUAAAGGCUCACCAAGGCGACGAUCCUUAGCUGGUCUGAGAGGAUGAUCAGCCACACUGGGACUGAGACACGGCCCAGACUCCUACGGGAGGCAGCAGUGGGGAAUAUUGGACAAUGGGCGAAAGCCUGAUCCAGCAAUGCCGCGUGAGUGAUGAAGGCCUUCGGGUUGUAAAACUCUUUCGCGCACGACGAUAAUGACGGUAGUGCGAGAAGAAGCUCCGGCUAACUUCGUGCCAGCAGCCGCGGUAAU